This 132-nucleotide small nucleolar RNA is filed under the name Delphinapterus leucas (beluga whale). Its description in RNAcentral is "Small nucleolar RNA SNORA72 (ENSDLEG00000020338.1)". It matches the Rfam family "Small nucleolar RNA SNORA72". Rfam says of the family: U72 is a member of the H/ACA class of snoRNAs. The snoRNA gene is located in intron 4 of the ribosomal L30 protein gene in human, mouse and chicken. The record is from Rfam by way of RNAcentral. Lineage: Eukaryota; Metazoa; Chordata; Mammalia; Artiodactyla; Monodontidae.
CUGCGAAUAUUCUCGCUGUUCUGAUUUUGUAAUAAUCAGGGCAGGCUAAACAUUCACUAUAUUAAGACCAUGCAUGUGUCCCCAGACCUAGUUCUUUUCCUAGGUCUGGUUUUAUAAAUGCUGGUGAUAAAC